CAUAUCAAUAAGCGGAGGAAAAGAAACCAACAGGGAUUGCCCUAGUAACGGCGAGUGAAGCGGCAACAGCUCAAAUUUGAAAUCUGGCCUCUUUGGGGGUCCGAGUUGUAAUUUGCAGAGGGUGCUUUGGCGUUGGCUGUGGUCUAAGUUCCUUGGAACAGGACGUCGCAGAGGGUGAGAAUCCCGUAUGUGGCCGCCAGUCUUCGCCGUGUAAAGCCCCUUCGACGAGUCGAGUUGUUUGGGAAUGCAGCUCUAAAUGGGAGGUAAAUUUCUUCUAAAGCUAAAUAUUGGCCAGAGACCGAUAGCGCACAAGUAGAGUGAUCGAAAGAUGAAAAGCACUUUGGAAAGAGAGUCAAAAAGCACGUGAAAUUGUUGAAAGGGAAGCGCUUGCAGCCAGACUUGCUUGCAGUUGUUCAGCCGGGCUCUUGCCCGGUCUACUCUUCUGCUCGCAGGCCAGCAUCAGUCCGGGCGGUUGGAUAAAGGCCUAUUAAACGUACCUCCCCUCGGGGAGGACUUAUAGGGUAGGUGACAUGCAACCAGCCCGGAUUGAGGUCCGCGCAUCUGCUAGGAUGCUGGCGUAAUGGCUGUAAGCGGCCCGUCUUGAAACACGGACCAAGGAGUCUAACAUCUAUGCGAGUGUUUGGGUGUCAAGCCCGAGCGCGUAAUGAAAGUGAACGGAGGUGGGAACCUUUCGGGGUGCACCAUCGACCGAUCCUGAUGUCUUCGGAUGGAUUUGAGUAAGAGCAUAGCUGUUGGGACCCGAAAGAUGGUGAACUAUGCCUGAAUAGGGUGAAGCCAGAGGAAACUCUGGUGGAGGCUCGCAGCGGUUCUGACGUGCAAAUCGAUCGUCAAAUUUGGGCAUAGGGGCGAAAGACUAAUCGAACAUCUAG
RNAcentral lists this ribosomal RNA (890 nucleotides) under Angustimassarina coryli. RNAcentral's name for it is "eukaryotic LSU rRNA". It matches the Rfam family "Eukaryotic large subunit ribosomal RNA", at positions 39 to 947 of the family's 3401-position model. Lineage: Eukaryota; Fungi; Ascomycota; Dothideomycetes; Pleosporales; Amorosiaceae. The record is from RNAcentral.